UGGGGAAUAUUGGACAAUGGGCGCAAGCCUGAUCCAGCCAUACCGCGUGGGUGAAGAAGGCCUUCGGGUUGUAAAGCCCUUUUGUUGGGAAAGAAAAGCAGUCGGUUAAUACCCGAUUGUUCUGACGGUACCCAAAGAAUAAGCACCGGCUAACUUCGUGCCAGCAGCCGCGGUAAUACGAAGGGUGCAAGCGUUACUCGGAAUUACUGGGCGUAAAGCGUGCGUAGGUGGUUGUUUAAGUCUGUCGUGAAAGCCCUGGGCUCAACCUGGGAAUUGCGAUGGAAACUGGGCGACUAGAGUGUGGCAGAGGAUAGUGGAAUUCCUGGGGUAGCAGUGAAAUGCGUAGAGAUCAGGAGGAACAUCCGUGGCGAAGGCGACUGUCUGGGCCAACACUGACACUGAGGCACGAAAGCGUGGGGAGCAAACAGG
RNAcentral lists this ribosomal RNA (429 nucleotides) under Bacillota bacterium. Its description in RNAcentral is "Firmicutes bacterium partial 16S ribosomal RNA". It matches the Rfam family "Bacterial small subunit ribosomal RNA", at positions 355 to 776 of the family's 1533-position model. The record is from RNAcentral. Lineage: Bacteria; Bacillati; Bacillota.